This 299-nucleotide signal recognition particle RNA is filed under the name Saimiri boliviensis boliviensis (Bolivian squirrel monkey). RNAcentral describes it as "Metazoan signal recognition particle RNA (ENSSBOG00000006267.1)". It matches the Rfam family "Metazoan signal recognition particle RNA". Rfam says of the family: The signal recognition particle (SRP) is a universally conserved ribonucleoprotein. Lineage: Eukaryota; Metazoa; Chordata; Mammalia; Primates; Cebidae. The record is from RNAcentral.
GCUGGGCACAGCGGCGCAUGCCUAUAGUCCCAGCUACUCGGGAGGCUGAGGUGGGAGGAUCACUUGAGCCCAGGAGUUCUGGGCUGUAGUGUGCUAUGCCAAUCGGGUGUCCGCACUAAGUUCAGCAUCAAUAUGGUGACUUCCCGGGAGUGGGGGACCACCAGGUUGCCUAAGGAGGGGUGAACCGGCCCAGGUUGAAAAUGGAGCAAGUCAAAACUCCCAUGCUGAUCAGUAGUGGGAUUGUGCCUGUGAAUAGCCACUGCACUCCAGCCUGGGCAACAUAGUGAGACCUCGUCUAA